CUUGAGGAGUGGCUUCCGGAGCUAACGCGUUAAGUCGACCGCCUGGGGAGUACGGCCGCAAGGUUAAAACUCAAAUGAAUUGACGGGGGCCCGCACAAGCGGUGGAGCAUGUGGUUUAAUUCGAUGCAACGCGAAGAACCUUACCUACUCUUGACAUCCACAGAACUUAGCAGAGAUGCUUUGGUGCCUUCGGGAACUCUGAGACAGGUGCUGCAUGGCUGUCGUCAGCUCGUGUUGUGAAAUGUUGGGUUAAGUCCCGCAACGAGCGCAACCCUUAUCCUUUGUUGCCAGCGAUUCGGUCGGGAACUCAAAGGAGACUGCCGGUGAUAAACCGGAGGAAGGUGGGGAUGACGUCAAGUCAUCAUGGCCCUUACGAGUAGGGCUACACACGUGCUACAAUGGCGCAUACAAAGAGAAGCGACCUCGCGAGAGCAAGCGGACCUCAUAAAGUGCGUCGUAGUCCGGAUCGGAGUCUGCAACUCGACUCCGUGAAGUCGGAAUCGCUAGUAAUCGUGGAUCAGAAUGCCACGGUGAAUACGUUCCCGGGCCUUGUACACACCGCCCGUCACACCAUGGGAGUGGGUUGCAAAAGAAGUAGGUAGCUUAACCUUCGGGAGGGCGCUUACCACUUUGUGAUUCAUGACUGGGGUGAAGUC
Molecule: ribosomal RNA, 656 nt
Filed under: Pantoea sp. DJM1F7
Lineage: Bacteria; Pseudomonadati; Pseudomonadota; Gammaproteobacteria; Enterobacterales; Erwiniaceae
Description: bacterial SSU rRNA
Rfam family: Bacterial small subunit ribosomal RNA
Source: RNAcentral